Molecule: transfer RNA, 613 nt
Filed under: uncultured Prochlorococcus sp.
Lineage: Bacteria; Bacillati; Cyanobacteriota; Cyanophyceae; Synechococcales; Prochlorococcaceae
Description: partial contains 16S ribosomal RNA, 16S-23S ribosomal RNA intergenic spacer, and 23S ribosomal RNA
Rfam family: tRNA (bases 227-299)
Source: RNAcentral
UGGAUCACCUCCUAACAGGGAGACAACAAAAUGUUUAAUAUUAUUAUUUUGUCACCUUAGGUCGAUCGGUAUCUCACGUUCUUAAUUUGUUAAGAAUUUCAUUUCCUAAGUUUUUCUAGGUCACACCCAUUAUUUUUCCUGGGCCAUUAGCUCAGGUGGUUAGAGCGCACCCCUGAUAAGGGUGAGGUCCCUGGUUCAAGUCCAGGAUGGCCCAUAUCUCUAUGUUGGGGGUAUAGCUCAGUUGGUAGAGCGCCUGCUUUGCAAGCAGGAUGUCAGCGGUUCGAGUCCGCUUACCUCCACUGAUUACCACCUCUUCCAUAAUCGGUAGAAAGGAAAUGUUUUGAGUUGUGAUCAUUAUUCUGAACGAAUCUAGCUUCCUAAUGAAAUCAUUAAGAUGCUGGACUCAUUGAAUUAAUUUCAUUGUUUUCAGAGAACCUUGACAACUGCAUAGAUUAUUUUUUAAAGACAAUAAGCAUCUUUAAUGAUGCAGAUUUAUUAUUUGUGCGAAUGCAUUAAUAACAAUUCUAUUAAGCUGAUGCUUCGAUUUUUGAAGUUAUUGGUCAAGCUACAAAGGGCUCACGGAGGAUACCUAGGCACACAGAGGCGAUGAAGG